GACGGAGGAUGCAAGCGUUAUCCGGAAUUAUUGGGCGUAAAGCGUGCGCAGGCGGAUUGUUAAGCAAGAUGUGAAAUCCCCGGGCUUAACCUGGGAAUGGCAUUUUGAACUGGCAAUCUAGAGUGUGUCAGAGGGGGGUAGAAUUCCACGUGUAGCAGUGAAAUGCGUAGAGAUGUGGAGGAAUACCGAUGGCGAAGGCAGCCCCCUGGGAUAACACUGACGCUCAUGUACCAAAGCGUGGGUAUCAAACAGG
RNAcentral lists this ribosomal RNA (253 nucleotides) under uncultured bacterium. RNAcentral's name for it is "partial 16S ribosomal RNA". It matches the Rfam family "Bacterial small subunit ribosomal RNA", at positions 524 to 776 of the family's 1533-position model. The record is from RNAcentral.